This is a small nuclear RNA of 149 nucleotides. Its record names the gene U1. It matches the Rfam family "U1 spliceosomal RNA". Rfam says of the family: U1 is a small nuclear RNA (snRNA) component of the spliceosome (involved in pre-mRNA splicing). Its 5' end forms complementary base pairs with the 5' splice junction, thus defining the 5' donor site of an intron. The record is from Ensembl.
GGUCUUACCUGGCAGGUAAUCAAGAUGGCGGUUCACCCAGGGCGAGGCUCAGCCAUUGCACUCCGGCUGUGCUGACCCCUGCGAAUUCCCCAAAUGUGAGAAUCUCGACUGCAUAAUUUCUGGUAGUGGGGGACCAGAAGGAGCCGCCA